GAUGAACGCUGGCGGCGUGCUUAACACAUGCAAGUCGAACGUGAGAGGUAGCAAUAUCUUGAAAGUGGCGAACGGGUGAGUAUCACGUAGGUAACCUGCCUCGGAGUGGGGGAUAACAGUUAGAAAUGACUGCUAAUACCGCAUGAAUCCAUCAUUUGGGGACAAACGGUGGAGAAAACUCUGGUGCUUCGAGAGGGGCCUGCGGCCGAUUAGCUAGUUGGUGGGGUAAAGGCCUACCAAGGCGACGAUCGGUAGCUGGUCUGAGAGGACGAUCAGCCACACGGGAACUGAGACACGGUCCCGACUCCUACGGGGGGCAGCAGUGAGGAAUAUUGGGCAAUGGGCGGAAGCCUGACCCAGCAACGCCGCGUGGAGGAUUG
Molecule: ribosomal RNA, 380 nt
Filed under: uncultured bacterium
Lineage: Bacteria
Description: bacterial SSU rRNA
Rfam family: Bacterial small subunit ribosomal RNA
Source: RNAcentral